CAUGGGCGAAAGCCUGAUGGAGCACCCCGCCUGUUGAUGAAGGGUUUCGACUCGUAAAACACUGUGUUAGAGAAGAUGACAUUGAGAGUCACUGUUCAAUGUGUGACGGUAUCUUACCAGAAAGGAACGGCUAUAUACGUGCCAGCAGCCGCGGUAAUACGUAUGUUCCAAGCGUUAUCCGGAUUUAUUGGGCGUAAAGCGAGAGCAGACGGUUAUUUAAGUCUGAAGUGAAAGCCCUCAGCUCAACUGAGGAAUUGCUUUGGAAACUGGAUGACUUGAGUGCAGUAGAGGAUAGUGGAACUUCAUGUGUAGCGGUGAAAUGCGUAGAUAUAUGGAAGAACAUCAGUGGCGAAGGCGGCUUUCUGGACUGUAACUGACGUUGAGGCUCGAAAGUGUGGGUAGCAAACAGGAUUAGAUACCCUGGUAGUCCACACCGUAAACGAUGAGUGCUAGGUGUUUGAGGGUUUCCGCCCUUAAGUGCCGCAGGUAACGCAUUAAGCACUCCGCCUGGGGAGUACGACCGCAAGGUUGAAACUCAAAGGAAUUGACGGGGACCCGCACAAGCGGUGGAGCAUGUGGUUUAAUUCGAAGCAACGCGAAGAACCUUACCAGGUCUUGACAUCCCUUGACAACUCCAGAGAUGGAGCGUUCCCUUCGGGGACAAGGUGACAGGUGGUGCAUGGUUGUCGUCAGCUCGUGUCGUGAGAUGUUGGGUUAAGUCCCGCAACGAGCGCAACCCUUAUUACUAGUUGCCAGCAUUCAGUUGGGCACUCUAGUGAGACUGCCGGUGACAAACCGGAGGAAGGUGGGGAUGACGUCAAAUCAUCAUGCCCCUUAUGACCUGGGCUACACACGUGCUACAAUGGCGUAUACAACGAGUUGCCAACCCGCGAGGGUGAGCUAAUCUCUUAAAGUACGUCUCAGUUCGGAUUGUAGGCUGCAACUCGCCUACAUGAAGUCGGAAUCGCUAGUAAUCGCGGAUCAGCACGCCGCGGUGAAUACGUUCCCGGGUCUUGUACACACCGCCCGUCACACCAUGAGAGUUUGUAACACCCAAAGCCGGUGGGGUAACCUUCGGGAGCCAGCCGUCUAUAGAUGGGC
RNAcentral lists this ribosomal RNA (1101 nucleotides) under Weissella confusa. RNAcentral describes it as "bacterial SSU rRNA". It matches the Rfam family "Bacterial small subunit ribosomal RNA", at positions 370 to 1468 of the family's 1533-position model. The record is from RNAcentral. Lineage: Bacteria; Bacillati; Bacillota; Bacilli; Lactobacillales; Lactobacillaceae.